RNAcentral lists this ribosomal RNA (271 nucleotides) under uncultured archaeon. RNAcentral's name for it is "partial 16S ribosomal RNA". It matches the Rfam family "Archaeal small subunit ribosomal RNA", at positions 477 to 747 of the family's 1478-position model. The record is from RNAcentral.
CAGCGCCACGAGUGGGGACCGGUAUUAUUGGGCCUAAAGCGUCCGUAGCCGGAUUAGUAAAUCUUUUGUGAAAUUGUUGGGCUUAACCUAACAGCGUGCAGAAGAGACUGCUGAUCUUGAGACUGGGAGGAGUCAGAGGUAUGCAUGGGGUAGUGGUAAAAUGCAAUAAUCCCAUGUGGACCACCUGUGGCGAAGGCGUCUGACUAGAACAGCUCUGACGGUGAGGGACGAAAGCUGGGGGAGCGAUCCGGAUUAGAUACCCGAGUAGUCC